Cherax quadricarinatus is the source of this 4380-nucleotide long non-coding RNA. RefSeq lists it as uncharacterized. NCBI's taxonomy places the organism in Eukaryota, Metazoa, Arthropoda, Malacostraca, Decapoda, Parastacidae. The record is from RefSeq and is a predicted model, not a curated record.
UUUUCGAGGAAGAGCCGGAUGCCCCCCAGCAUGAGGACAAGGAGACCCAAGUUAACAAAACCUUCAUAGCUGUUGAAUCCUGAUGACCAAGAAAGAAGGGAGUCUCUUGGCUUGUGUAUCCUGUAGAAGUUUAUAAGCUCUGUUCCUGGCGUGGUCUUCCAGGAUAGACGCCAGAUAAAGGGGCAAGACGUGUGUUAAUAAUACUUAUUAACAUUAUUCUACUACUACCGGCCCUUACCUAUUCUACUUGUGCUCCAUCCAAGUGGUAGGAGAUUCCAGAACAUCGGAUUACCAUCUGCCCAGGAUAACCUACAUAAAUAACAUCAGAGGAACUAUCCAGGGCCAUACCUACUCCUACCCAACUACAAGAACUGAAGGCCAAUUUUUUUUAUUAUAUUUAAAUUUUAAGUAAAAUUCUCAAAAAUCAUUUUUCUUGUUUUUCCUAAAUCAUUUCUUUAUUUAUUUAUUUUUCCAUUAAUUUCUUUUGUUCAGUUGGAAGGCGUUCCACUGACACUUAGUAUUAUUAUAUAAACAAAUAAAGAUCAAAUUAAAUAAUAAAAGCCAAGAAUAAGAAUAAAAUGUUCAACACAAAUAAAUGCUAUCACACCAAGUUAAAAUAACUAACAUCAGUUUAAACCCAUUCAAUCAUUAAUGUGUAAAAGACUUAAAAGUUCCAAGAUCCACACAGGCUGCCUUGUACGUACUUAUAAAACCAUGAUGAAGGCAGGAAGACCUAAGGAGUGGGCAAGCUGUUAAAAUGUGUUGCAGAGUCAGCUGCAUGCCAUGAGCUAUAAAGAUGGAAACGGUAUUUACAAGAUGUAUGAACUCAGUCCUCAGUCAAGACUUAUCAAAGUUGCUAUUGGUGUGAAGGAGGGCUGAAUACCCAUGUUCUGCCAAACCCUGCAUAACUUGCUCCCAGUCUGCAGGGGCUACUGGACCUGCCAUUUUCCAAGGACAUCUGUAGAUAUGGCCAAUGAAGUUGCUGUAGAACAAAAGUUCUACUGUGGAGUGGGCUCAUUACAGCAGCCUUUGCUUAGCAUCCACAAGUUCAUUUCCUGGGACACCAACAUCACUCUACAUACUUUGCCAUGCAUGGAGACUCAAUAUCCACUCCUGGAUCUUUAGGACCACAGGGUGGACAGAAGUAUAAUGGGCUAGGGCAGACAGGCAAAUCUAUUUAGCAACAGGUACACAUGCAUAAUUAUCAUACAGUGUAAAUUAUCUAGGAAAACCCCCCAAAAAAACUGACUUAUUUCCACUGGGGUCCUUGUAAUAUCUUAUUUAAACCUUAAAAGUUAAAUCGGGUAACUCAACUGUGAAAAUCAGCUACAAUAAAAGGAGAUAUACUAGGAAUAAAGUUAGCAGUAACAGCCUGGUUGAUCAGGCCAUGAUCCACUAAGGCAGAGCUGUGCAAUGAACACAAAAGACUCCUGGUAGCUGUGAGCACUUAGCAUUCUCAGCAGUGAUCACAGCAAAGCCAACACCACCCAUACUCUUUGAAGCAUGAACCAAAUUAUGCUAAAAACCAUUAGCCAAGGUCACCAUUGGUGCUCAACACUUUGGUAUGCUCAUCCAGAGAGGGCAGGGAGAGAAGUCAGUCUGUGACUGCAGACACUGAGGUCACAAUCCAGGUUAGGGGCCUGCAUCCGAAAGUCAAACAGCAUAAGUAGCCUCAUACAGCAAGCAUAGAGCUUCUCCCCCUCCUUGCAAAGAUCAUAGCACAAGCCAGGUUGCCUGAAGUAAAUACGUCAAACCAGAAAUAGGUAAUGUGGGAUGAGCUUACAAAGGAGAUCCAGGAAAAGCUUGCUAGACUCAACAUAAAGGCUCUCAACAGGGAAGGUAUGGAAUACACUUGUGAAAAGCAAUAUCCCAAGAUGAUGAACAGGGUUCAGCAAAUAUAGCAAGAAAGAACUGGCUGAGAUCAGGCAGCCAUAUCCUAGUCUAGAAUGUCACAAGGCUGUAUACAGAUACAACACUAUCCAUCAAUCAGUCCCAGCAGGUAUGGUGGCAGAGCACCAUACGACAUUCUUAUGCCCACACAUUUACUUAGAGUUCAUUCACACAAAAGUCGAAUGUCAUGUGAUAAUCAAACGAUCAUUCCCCAAAAUGUCACUUGCUGAUCAUAGGGAAGGACUACACCAUAUAGUGAUAUACACAUGUAUCUUUGAAGAGUUUCGAGAGUUUUUCUACUCUCUGAGCCCGGCCAUGGACCAGGCUCGUCUGGUGCUUGGAAAGCAGGUUGGCUAACCAAGGACUCUGUAAAAUGAGUGAAAAACCAAAGCUAUUAUAAGCAGCCCACUCCGUGAUGUCCACUGCCACCUGUCACGGUGACAGGCCACCCCAGGAGCAGAUGUCGCGCAAGAACAUCUAUAUACAUAGAGGCCUAGACAGGGGAUAACACUAGCCACACCAUCCAUAGCCAUAAUAAAUCAUGUGAUGCCCAAAAUACUUCCCUGCUGGAUCCCCCUCUUCCUGGAGAGGAUUUCAGGGAUCAAUGCCCCCACAGCCUGGUCUGUGAUAAAGUCUCAUGGUGGAUCAGGGUCUGAUCAACCAGACUGUUACUGUUGGCUGCAUGCAUGCCGACGUACAAACCACAUCAUGGCUGGUCAGGUACUGACUUUAGGUGCCUGUCCAGCACCUUGAAGACAGCCAAGGGUCGCAAGUGCUGUCACCAAUCAUUGCAACACUAACAAAUCCAUCGAAUCCUCUACCUUUCCUACAGUUCUCAAAAUAGCAAGGGUCACCCCGAUCCAUAAAGGAGACCAAACAGGCUUGAAUAGCUAUAGGCCAAUAUCCAACUUACACCCUCUCUAAAAUCUUCGAAAAAUUAAUUCAUAAGCGAAUCUAUUCCUACUUCAUCUCCCAUAACAUACUCAACCUCUGUCAGUUUGGGUUCAGGCCUAAUAAAAAUACGAAUGAUGCUAUUAUACACAUGCUAGAACAAAUCUACAUUGCGCUAGAGAAAAAAAAGAAGUCCCACUGGGGAUCUUCAUUGAUUUACGUAAAGAAUUUGAUACAGUUGACCAUGAUUUGCUCCAUAUAAAAUUAUCACACUAUGGUACAAGAGGGCACUCCCUCAACUAUCUAAAGUCAUACCUCAGCAACAGAAGCCAAUAUGUGUACACAAAUGGAGCAAACUUCUGCACACCCAAUUACAGUUGGUGUCCCACAGGGUAGUGUCCUAGGCCCUCUUCUCUUUCUCGUUUACAUAAAUGACCUACCAAAUGCAUCGCAACUACUCAAACCCACACUAUUUGCAGAUGACACUACAUACGUCUUCUCUCACCCAAACCCAGUCAUUCUAGCCAAUACUGUAAAUACCGAAUUACAGAAAAUAUCCACCUGGAUGAUCAACAAACUUACUCUCAACAUUGACAAAACCUACUUCAUUCAGUUUGGUAACAGAGCUACAGAUGUCCCUCUUAACAUAGUGAUAAAUGGAUCACCUAUCACAAAACUCAGAGGGAAAAUUCUUAGGAAUCCACCUUAAUAAUACUCAAAUUUCAAACACAUGUAUAACAAAUUUCCCAAAAAAUUUCCAAGACCGUAGGCAUACUAUCGAAGAUACGGUACUAUGUUCCACAGCCAGCCCUCCUGGCCCUAUAUCACUCACUCAUUUACCCCUAUCUCACCUAUGGAAUUUGUGCAUAGGGCUCAACAACAAUAAACCAUCUCAGACCAUUAAUUACCCAACAAAAGGCUGCAUUCAGAAUGAUAAAUUCCCACUACAGGCAGCACACUCCACCAAUAUUCAAAACUCUAAACCUACUCGCCAUACAAAACAUCCAUACUUAUUAUUGUACUUACUACAUACAUAGAACACUAAACUCUGAUAUAAACCCUCCCCUCAAACAUCUCCUUGCCAACCUCAACAGAACACAUGGCCAUAACACAAGGCACAGAUCACUCUUUGAUGUUCCUCGUGUCCAUCUCACACUAUGCAAAAACUCAAUGCGCAUAAAAGGCCCUAAAAUCCGGAAUUCAUUACCUGUGAAUAUAAAAGAAACACACUGUUUAUAAAUUCAAGUCUUCUUAAAAAUCACUUACUCACCCUCAACUAAAUAAAUACUGAAUAACUGUAUCUCAUAAAUGUGACCCAAUCAAACUCUUAUUUUUUAAUAAUACCUAACAGAAUACUCCAUUCUACUGAAUGCACAGAAACAUAGUAAAUGACAAUAUGACCUGUCUUUGAAAUACUCAUUUGUGCUUAAUUGUUAUUUGUUCACAAGGAAGGAAAAAAAAACUGGCAGGAAAUGGCAGAAAUCGUACACCAAAUCCAGUCAUUCCUGGAGUGGAACCACAGUCGAUGGCCUCCACUCCAAACCAACAGAUACAGAUACUAAUGCCGGAAAAAAAAUCCCCCCCCCCCAGUACCAACAA